CCAAUUCUCCAGUGAGGGAUUGAGUUCAGAAGUGCAUAAGCAUGAGCUCAGCAAAGGUGGCCCCUGCUCCCUCCACCCUGGGCGUGACCUGGACAGGGGGAGACUCAAGUGUUCCCCUGUCCUGGGCUCCUCCUCAGGCAAGAACUUGCCAAAUGCCCGUCAAGGCUGCAGACUUCUCAGUCUCAGCCCCCUGCCCUCUCCAUGUGUGUCUGCAGUUACAGCAACACCGCCUUUUCAGAGCCCCCUGAGGAAGCCCGGGAGCAGCCAGGGCCCCAUCCUUGAGGAUGCGGAGCUGGGUUCACUCCUGGCUGCACCUUGAACUAGACUGUGAUUCUGGGCAGAGCAUUGAGCCUCUGAGGUCUUCUCCUUCUCCCUCAAUGGCCUCCUGUGAUCCCCUCCCCUCAGUCUACACAUCCUGCUGGAAUCCACUCCCCUUGACUGUGGUCUGAAGUUUGUCAUUGCCUGUUACUCUGUGGAAGAGGGCACAGUGAUGCGCAGGCAGUUCUGAGACUGGGUCCCAAACAGUCCGGGGCUCCCCUCCUUCUGGCUCUGACCUGUGUUCUCUCUCUCCCUCAUAUCCCUCACUCUGGGGAACAAGACUGUGUGUUCUAGGUUGCACCCUAGAGAGGCCGACGUGGCCUGGCCUUGAAGGAGACUCACCGACAGAGGGGCCUGCAGGCCUUCAGUCGCAUGGCGCCCUCCAGGACCCCAGAGUGCGCUCAGAGCAGGAGGGAUGCAGAUCCUGCCUCAGUUCCGAGCACAGCCCGACCCCCUGAGAGCCUCUGGCAGAAGCUCCCAGCUGAGCGCUGCUGGAUUCCUGGUCCAGUGCAACCAUGACAUAAUCAAGAUACCGGUGCUGGGUGGGUGUUCAGCUUGGAGAGAUCCAGUCUUUCAUGUGGUCCUUCAGAAACCCCUAGUUCUUCCACCAUGUGAUUUUUCCAGCUCUAGGACAUCAUCCUCAUCUGAAUCCGUCAGCAUCAGGGGAAGGACUUAAAGAAAUGCAUGCCAUUUCUGUCGUUAACUUACGUUAUAUGCCAUGGGGAAGGGAUUUUUCAGAUGCAAGAACAGUCUAAUCAUUUGACUUUGAGUUUAUCAAAAGAGAGAAUACUCUGGUUGGCAUUGACUUAAUCCAAUGAACCUUUUGAAAGAGAGUCAAAACCUUCCCUGAAUGGUGAUAUCAAGUGAGAGAGAGUCUUUUAUUAUCUUUAAGGAGCAAAGUACUGUGUUGUGGAAGGAGGGGCCAAGCAUUGCAGACAAUGGGCUAGUGGCCAC
Molecule: long non-coding RNA, 1272 nt
Filed under: Equus asinus (donkey)
Lineage: Eukaryota; Metazoa; Chordata; Mammalia; Perissodactyla; Equidae
Description: lncRNA (ENSEASG00005038557.1)
Source: RNAcentral